RNAcentral lists this transfer RNA (74 nucleotides) under Nitrososphaerota archaeon. RNAcentral's name for it is "Thaumarchaeota archaeon tRNA-Thr". It matches the Rfam family "tRNA". From Rfam's summary of the family: Transfer RNA (tRNA) molecules are approximately 80 nucleotides in length. Their secondary structure includes four short double-helical elements and three loops (D, anti-codon, and T loops). Lineage: Archaea; Thermoproteati; Nitrososphaerota. The record is from RNAcentral.
GCCCGAGUCGUUCAAUGGUAGGACGCGGAGCCUGUAACUCCGUCACCGGUGUUCGAUUCAUCGCUUGGGCCCCA